UUUCAGUUCGAGGGCAUUGUGGGAAGUAGCCAUGGUCUGAGGCUGUCGCCUCACCUGUCAGCCGGUGUGGCUGCUACGCUCUCCCCUGGCUGUCGCAUCCUGGGCGAUCACAGCUGUCGCAACCCGGGCGGCUGCGGCCACCAUGAUACAUUUCAUCUUGCUCUUCAGUCGACAAGGGAAACUUCGGCUUCAGAAAUGGUACACCACGCUCCCUGACAAGGAGAGGAAGAAGAUCACCCGGGAGAUCAUCCAGGCUGUCCUUUCUCGUGGGCACAGGACAAGCAGUUUCAUUGACUGGAAGGAGCUGAAACUUGUUUAUAAAAGGUAUGCUAGUUUAUAUUUUUGCUGUGCAAUAGAAAAUCAGGACAAUGAGCUCUUGACACUAGAGAUUGUACAUCGUUAUGUGGAGUUGCUGGACAAGUACUUUGGAAAUGUCUGUGAGCUGGAUAUUAUCUUUAAUUUUGAAAAGGCGUAUUUUAUCCUUGAUGAAUUUAUAAUAGGUGGAGAAAUUCAGGAAACAUCCAAGAAAACGGCAGUCAAGGCCAUUGAAGACUCUGAUAUGUUACAGGAGCAGGUCAAGAGUCAAGAGGAUUUCAAGAAUUAUAAAGUACCCUUUUAAAAUUGGUACUAAGGCCAUUCUUCCUGCUAUUUGGAAAUAAGAGACUGAUUAAGUUAAUAAGACAUUAGGCAUGAUUUCCCAGCAACUGUCUUGGCAAUACUUUGAGCUGAUUACUUACUCCUGCCCAUGGAGGGACUCCAUCCUCAGACAAUGGAAGAAUACAUGAACAAGCCCACGUUUUAACUGUGCCAUCUACUUGAAGAUUCUGAGUGCUUCGUGUUGGGAAUCAACCAAUGAGCAACUCUUUGCAUCCAGUCUCCACACAGCUUCUGGCUCCAUGCCAAAAAUAACUUAAAGGG
RNA transcript from Microtus oregoni (creeping vole), 918 nucleotides. It is a transcript of the gene named adaptor related protein complex 1 subunit sigma 3, with no coding region annotated. The record is from RefSeq and is a predicted model, not a curated record. The transcript is spliced from 6 exons. NCBI's taxonomy places the organism in Eukaryota, Metazoa, Chordata, Mammalia, Rodentia, Cricetidae.